UACAGAGGGUGCGAGCGUUAAUCGGAAUUACUGGGCGUAAAGCGCACGUAAGUGGCGACGUAAGUCGGGUGUGAAAGCCCCGGGCUCAACCUGGGAAUUGCAUUCGAGACUGCAUUGCUGGAGUACGGAAGAGGAGGGCGGAAUUCCCGGUGUAGCGGUGAAAUGCGUAGAUAUCAGGAGGAACACCGGUGGCGAAGGCGGGUCUCUGGGCAACAACUGACGCUGAGGAGCGAAAGCGUGGGGAGCGAACAGG
Molecule: ribosomal RNA, 253 nt
Filed under: uncultured bacterium
Lineage: Bacteria
Description: partial 16S ribosomal RNA
Rfam family: Bacterial small subunit ribosomal RNA
Source: RNAcentral